AUUGAACGCUGGCGGCAUGCCUUACACAUGCAAGUCGAACGGCAGCACGGGGGCAACCCUGGUGGCGAGUGGCGAACGGGUGAGUAAUGCAUCGGAACGUGCCCAGUAGUGGGGGAUAACUAGUCGAAAGAUUAGCUAAUACCGCAUACGACCUAUGGGUGAAAGCGGGGGACCUUUACCGGCCUCGCGCUAUCGGAGCGGCCGAUGUCUGAUUAGCUAGUUGGCGGGGUAAGAGCCCACCAAGGCGACGAUCAGUAGCUGGUCUGAGAGGACGACCAGCCACACUGGGACUGAGACACGGCCCAGACUCCUACGGGAGGCAGCAGUGGGGAAUUUUGGACAAUGGGCGCAAGCCUGAUCCAGCCAUGCCGCGUGC
RNAcentral lists this ribosomal RNA (376 nucleotides) under uncultured bacterium. RNAcentral describes it as "bacterial SSU rRNA". It matches the Rfam family "Bacterial small subunit ribosomal RNA", at positions 29 to 404 of the family's 1533-position model. The record is from RNAcentral.